CUUAGAGACCCCAAAGUAAAGAGAGUUCUGGGCUUGUGAAACAUGUAUUAUUCAGGAAAAUGGUGGUGGAAAGGAUCUUUGCCUGCCUGUUGAGCCCUACAAUUUAUUGCACCACCCUCAACAGCGGCACAGAGCAUCUGGAGGAUGUCAGGCAGCUCAGACACUGACUGGCUGGGACCCACUGGCUGUUGACACUACAGGCAACGUGUGUACAACACCCUCAACAAAAUUUAUAUUGUGUAAACUCACUGCUGUCAGGAAAGACUCAUAUCCCUCUAAAAGCCCUUGCAGCAAAUGGUAAAAGCCACAAUAAUAACAGCCAAAAAAACAGAGACACAUACCAGAACGUGUCCUGGAGCCUGUAUUCACUGACCUAUCUCUCUGCCCUCAAAUUCCUUGCCUGUGAAAAGAGUUGACUCAACAAAGUUAAGUGGUGUAAGCUCAAAGAGCCCACAGGGCACAUACAGAAAUGAUCAGUGGUUUGGAAAUUCUCAGGCAUCUCUCCCAUUCAAGAAGGAAAAACUUAAACUGCUUUUUUUCCACUUGAAUGUUAGAUUACACAAUGGAGUUUCAGAAGUAUACAGCUGUUCCUAUGCUGUAGAUGUGCAUCGCCUGCUGGAGCUAUUCGUUUCUGACAUCAAAGAUAUGAGAAAGAGAUAUCAGAUAUCAUUCCAGAUAUCAGAAAGAGAUAGCACUUUUACAAGAGGAAAAAAAAAGGUAAAUCUUAAUAAAGGUUUGGAAUAAAAAGGAAGUAUCAGCAGGAAAUGAGCAGCAGGAGAGAAAAAUGUUAAAAGACGAUCUACUUCUCUUCCUUUGCUCUCCUUUACAUUAACUGAGCUGACUACAAAUACGAUCAUGUCUUUCAGCUUUCCCAGUAUUGCUCAGUAAUUAAAAAGCAAUGCAAAGUUUGUGAAUCAAACAGACAUUGUCCUCCUAAUGGGCUCAAAUUCAGAGUAAUACUUCCUCUCACAUGCAUGUUGUUUUUUCUUCCUCAAAAAAAUAGACCAGUUCUUCCAAAGCUUUUUUAUUUGUUUUCCUCCAAAGAAGGCUGAAGAAAUGCCAGGACUUGGCACUGCAAUAAUGAACAGUGUGAACAGCUUUGGACAUGGUCAAGUAGGAAACAUGCAGAUGGAAAGCAAACUGGCCGAGCACUAAAAGACAGGACUGGAUUCAUAUAUCCUCUCAGAUCAUUUGGAACAGUGAGGAAAAAAAUAUUUACUUCAAUUUAUGAAACAACAUUCUGACACAAUCCUUUCACCUAUGAAAGUUAUACAGAGAUACACUUCCUUCCUGUGGAUGGGAAAGACGGAAUUUAAUAUGGCAUAUCACUUCUGGGAGGGCCACUGACUUUUACAGAAAAAAAAUUGAGCAAGACUGUUUCAGCUAUAUCUGUAAAAGCAUGGAUUUUACCCACUUUAUCUUCUUUAUCACAGUCUAAUUCUUAGCUUAGCGAUAAAAUCCCCUGGUGCUUUCCCCUUUAUAUACACUUAAUUGCCAAUUCCCCACUCUCCAUGGGACUGGAAAGUGCAAACUCCCCACACACAAACAGUGCUAAAAUUAGAGAUGACACUGACUCCGCAGACUUGUGAUAGUAACAAGAAACCGUUCUUCAAGCGCUUUGCAUACAAUGGUUUCUUUAUUUACCUUUAAGAGUCUGCAAGUGGGUGAGCUGUUUGGACUGGGAAUCUGGCUUUUUUAGCUGGCUGCGCAUGGGGAAAAAAUGAUGUGAAACAUCCAUACUGGAUAUGGUUGGUCCACAGGAAGGACUGGUGUUUUUCUCACUACUGUAUUUAAUAUGAAACUGUUUAAAGAUUGCCUCUUCAUGUUGAAUAGCAUCUUUUAUAUAGCAUCUUUUAUACUCCAUGUACCCCCAGAGAAGCAGGUUUAAUCUGCUUUAUACAGCACAGUGACUGUGUAAGGGAAGUACAGCAGCCAAUAUACUCUCAACAAUAUUUCUCUAUGCCGUGCUAGGCUGUAUUUACCUGGAAGAAAAGGCAGGAGGCAGGUUGCCCUCAACCUUUCUGCCAUGGAACUGUCACAUGGACAUCACCAGGAAGGAUAGUGGCCACAUCUGAAGGGUGGCUCCUCAAGAAGUGCUACUAUCAGUACUGUGAAAGAGCCUAAAUUCUGUGUAAUGGAGGAUUUGUACAUUCAUUCAGCUAAUACAAACUGCUACUGAGUGAGUCAAUGCCAUUUACAUUUAACAAAAACAUAUGCAGGUAAAGUUGGCUUGGUACAUGUCAUUCUUUCAGCCACCAGAGAUGCAGGCUAGCCCAGGCUCAGCUACUGGCUUUCCUUGUACAACUGAAAGUUACCACUUACUUAAAUCAUAAAUAUUCUAGCAUACUAAAUCUGCAAGUAAGACACAUUAGCCUUCCACUAGAACUGUCUGUGGAAAAGCUUUAUUUCCAGAAAUGCAUGACGGAUUCGAAUAUUGAUAUAAAUUACCAGACCUACCAAUGGAAAAUUACAGUGUCAGAAUCUGAGCUGGGACCCAAAUUCUGAUUUCCCUGUUCUCAGCUGCAAAGUCCCCAGAAGUAGGUGGCAGGACAAAGCUUAUUUCCCUCACACUAGAGAAUGUUAAUGUCCCAUAACCUUUUGAAACUUGUUCAAUAAAUGCAUUAUAAAGAAAAGAGCAAUCACUUUUAUGUAAAUUAUAGUUGCAUUAUAUCAUAGUAUAUAUUUUGGCAGACUGUGUAUUUCUAUAUAAUACUGCUGGUGAAGGCAGCUGUAUCUUCUAACACAAAACUGGCAAGUUUUCCUUUCUAAAGUUUCAUUUCUCCAUUUCAAACAGAAAGUAUCUGUCCUGAUACAUCCACAGCCCCAAAAGCACUGAGUGCAUCACUUGUCUGCACAAUGUUGGCAAAUUUAAAAGCCUGCAUUUCCCCUUUAAAAAAGUCUUCAAAUGGGAAAAUAACUUUGCAGACAGCAAAACUCAGCACAGCUUGAGCCCACUAAAGGAACUUUCUUGAUUUUACUUGAAAAAGGGAUAAAAAAUGCUUGAAACUCCAAAAUUAUGUGAAGUCACACAUCCAUGUAACUGUCAACACUGAUGAAGACUUACUUGUAUACUUCAUCCUCACUAGGAAAAUAAAUAUAUCCUUAUCCUGUAAUCACUAAUGUGUGAUAACUACUGUGAAGUGAAAUCCUAGUGCAGAUUGGAUAGCUGUAGUUUUAAAGCAGGUUAGCAGGUCAGGAAAGAUGCAGACUCCCCUGUACUACUUACUGUCUGCUGACAGUAAAUGCUACAAGCCAGCUUAUCUGCACUAGCACAUUAUCGUAUAUUAGGUAGCAAAACUGAACGAGAUUGCUGUAUGAUCAUAGUGUCUUCCAAAGAAAGUAUAUAUCUGUGGUGUGUCUACACUUCAGCUUAAUUCUAGUAUGGACAGAAAGUUUGUUCACAAUCUGUUUACUUGUGUUUACUUGUGCAGUCUUUCAAUGACAUACACGACUAAAAAUUGAAAUGCAGACAUAUCUGAAAGGCAGAAAAAUCCCAAAUGUUACUUUCUGUGUACAUGAUCUGUCAACUUAGUGGUUGCCAUUUUGAUAGAAAAAUAUACCCAGAGAUGGUGAUGGCUGCUUGAUAGAUGCAGUAGGCUUAAAAAGGACUACAGAGAGUGUUAAGUAAAAAGCAUGCAAAUACAUAAUUUAUAUACAAAUGCUAAUGCUGUAAGAGAAGAUUUAAGACUCUUUCCGUGGGGAUUGGGGAAGAUAUUAUUUUCCUUUACUGUUCUUAACACAGACUUCACAGUUGUUCACAAAAAGGAACUGCACGUGUUACACACUCCAACUACCCCCAUCCUCAGCUUUUUACAGCUCCAGCAAGUGUAAGAGAAGUCUUCAGUUACUGAAGUUCAUUCUGUAGCUUAGCAGAAUGAAUGUGGGCCCAGACACCAAAACAAAGUGUGAAGAAACACAGUGAUAACUUGGUUCCUAGCUCACUCACUCUCUAAGCUGCUCUAUAUGCAAAUUUCCCCUCAGACCUUUCAUGAGACAGGAUGGUUAAAGUAUCAUCUAGGACAGUUGAUACUCUGUGUGAAAAAUAAUCCUAAACUGAAUUUGUUUUUGACGGAUUGGAUUUUUCAGAGAUACUCUGGGAUUUCUUCAGCUCAAGGCAGAAAAAAGCUGUCCAGCUGUAGGCAACACUAAGUUGUGGAAGUGAAUCUGGAUCCAACAGGGAGAGGUCUGUCCAAUUCAUAUGUAAUUAAUAAAUAACCCACUGCCUGUA
This is an RNA transcript of Dromaius novaehollandiae (emu), 4228 nucleotides long. RefSeq lists it as uncharacterized. The transcript has 2 exons. Lineage: Eukaryota; Metazoa; Chordata; Aves; Casuariiformes; Dromaiidae. The record is from RefSeq and is a predicted model, not a curated record.